This 397-nucleotide ribosomal RNA is filed under the name uncultured bacterium. RNAcentral's name for it is "bacterial SSU rRNA". It matches the Rfam family "Bacterial small subunit ribosomal RNA", at positions 28 to 429 of the family's 1533-position model. The record is from RNAcentral.
AUUGAACGCUGGCGGCAUGCCUUACACAUGCAAGUCGAGCGGCAGCGCGGGGGCAACCCUGGCGGCGAGCGGCGAACGGGUGAGUAAUGCAUCGGAACGUACCCUGGAGUGGGGGAUAACGCCGCGAAAGCGGCGCUAAUACCGCAUAUGCUCUGAGGAGGAAAGUGGGGGACCGCAAGGCCUCACGCUCUGGGAGCGGCCGAUGUCCGAUUAGCUAGUUGGUGAGGUAAAGGCUUACCAAGGCGACGAUCGGUAGCUGGUCUGAGAGGAUGAUCAGCCACACUGGGACUGAGACACGGCCCAGACUCCUACGGGAGGCAGCAGUGGGGAAUUUUGGACAAUGGGGGCAACCCUGAUCCAGCCAUGCCGCGUGAGUGAAGAAGGCCUCGGUUGUAAG